This 625-nucleotide ribosomal RNA is filed under the name Hansenula anomala. RNAcentral's name for it is "Wickerhamomyces anomalus partial large subunit ribosomal RNA". It matches the Rfam family "Eukaryotic large subunit ribosomal RNA", at positions 35 to 669 of the family's 3401-position model. Lineage: Eukaryota; Fungi; Ascomycota; Saccharomycetes; Phaffomycetales; Wickerhamomycetaceae. The record is from RNAcentral.
UUUGCAUAUUCCCAAUAGCGGAGGAAAAGAAACCAACAGGGAUUGCCUCAGUAACGGCGAGUGAAGCGGCAAAAGCUCAAAUUUGAAAUCUAGCACCUUCGGUGUUUGAGUUGUAAUUUGAAGAUGGUAACCUUGGGUUUGGCUCUUGUCUAUGUUCCUUGGAACAGGACGUCAUAGAGGGUGAGAAUCCCGUCUGAUGAGAUGCCCAUUCCUAUGUAAGGUGCUAUCGAAGAGUCGAGUUGUUUGGGAAUGCAGCUCUAAGUGGGUGGUAAAUUCCAUCUAAAGCUAAAUAUUGGCGAGAGACCGAUAGCGAACAAGUACAGUGAUGGAAAGAUGAAAAGAACUUUGAAAAGAGAGUGAAAAAGUACGUGAAAUUGUUGAAAGGGAAGGGCAUUAGAUCAGACUUGGUGUUUUACGAUUAUCUUCUCUUCUUGAGUUGUGCACUCGUAUUUCACUGGGCCAGCAUCGAUUCGGAUGGCAAGAUAAUGGCAGUUGAAUGUGGCUUCACUUCGGUGGAGUGUUAUAGCUUCUGCUGAUAUUGCCUGUCUGGAUCGAGGGCUGCGUCUUUUGACUAGGAUGCUGGCGUAAUGAUCUAAUGCCGCCCGUCUUGAACCCCCCGGACCCA